GAACCCUUCUUCUCCUCAUGAAUUCUUUUCUUUGCAGUUGGAAGGAAAUACCCAAUUCUAAAGGGCAAACCCUAGGUGAACUAGCGAUUUGUGGCCCAAAAAUUCGACCCACAUCUACCAUCGCCAGAACCCAUCAAAGAAGAUGCUAUUAUAUAAGUUGUUUGGGUAAGUUAUCGACAAUAGAUUUGAGCGUAAUCAAUUUCUCCAAUCUUCUUACAGAAGUUCAUGAUACAAUGUGGGGAAAAAAAUGUACUUACUUGUCGACGUAAUUCAUCACGCAUAAAUUGUUGUUUAAAAAAAAUUUAAUAUCCAUCUAUGUAGAUUACAGAGAGAUGUACCAGUGAACUUAGCCACAUGUUUUUAGUUUAUAUUUAUGUAUAUAGCGUAGAAAACUUGUUAUUGAAUUCAUAGCGUAGGAAACUUGUUAUUGAAAUAAUGUCCAGAAGAAGAUUACAAUGACAGGGAAGAACAAGGACAUUUGUUAUUGUUGUAAGAAGCACCGACACCAAUUUUCAGAUUGCCCAUCGAAGCAACGAUGUCUAGAUUGUGGGUCGAGGUUCAUGAAAUGUAUGGAGGUCGAGAAGAAUACUAGAAACAUAUGAUAACUGUUCUUAUGUUACACAAGAGAUUGUGGAUUUUUUUAUUGGAAUGAUGCUUCGUCAUCGAGGGCAAAACCGAUGCAAUUUUAAGGAGAAGAUUUGUCGUCCAUGUUCAAGACAUUUGCUCAAAUAACUAAAGAAAAAGACAUGAAGAUAUCAUUGAACAUAACUAUGCGUAAGGGAAAAUGAUCUAUAUAAAGUGUGUUUGCCAUUUUUAUGUUUGUGUAGUAGGCACCAACUUCGGUUUAAAUUAUGUUUGGUGUAUGUUGUUGGCCACAUGGAAUGUGGGCGUGCAUUAAUCCUUUAAGUGGGCAUACAUUCAAAGAUGCCAACUGGGAAACUUGUAUGCUGAAUAUCAAGUGACAUUUUUGCUUAAUUUGUAAUAUGAACUGUAUUUUAUAUUCUAUUCAGUGACU
Molecule: long non-coding RNA, 1015 nt
Filed under: Olea europaea subsp. europaea
Lineage: Eukaryota; Viridiplantae; Streptophyta; Magnoliopsida; Lamiales; Oleaceae
Source: RNAcentral